UAGGGAAUCUUGCACAAUGGGCGAAAGCCUGAUGCAGCAACGCCGCGUGAAGGAUGAAGGCCUUCGGGUUGUAAACUUCUGUUCUUAGGGAAGAAGAAAGUGACGGUACCUAAGGAGAAAGCCCCGGCUAACUACGUGCCAGCAGCCGCGGUAAUACGUAGGGGGCAAGCGUUAUCCGGAAUUAUUGGGCGUAAAGAGUGCGUAGGUGGUUAUCUAAGCGUAAGGUUUAAGCGUGCAGCUCAACUGCAUCUCGCCUUGCGAACUGGACUACUUGAGUGCAGGAGGGGAAAGCGGAAUUCCUAGUGUAGCGGUGAAAUGCGUAGAUAUUAGGAGGAACACCAGCGGCGAAGGCGGCUUUCUGGACUGUAACUGACACUGAGGCACGAAAGCGUGGGGAGCAAACAGGA
Molecule: ribosomal RNA, 407 nt
Filed under: uncultured bacterium
Lineage: Bacteria
Description: bacterial SSU rRNA
Rfam family: Bacterial small subunit ribosomal RNA
Source: RNAcentral